RNA transcript from Vidua chalybeata, 4896 nucleotides. It is a transcript of the gene named RIC3 acetylcholine receptor chaperone, with no coding region annotated. Lineage: Eukaryota; Metazoa; Chordata; Aves; Passeriformes; Viduidae. The transcript has 7 exons. The record is from RefSeq and is a predicted model, not a curated record.
CUGCGCCGAGCUCUGCCAUGGCGGCCUGGACGUGCUGCCGGGUGGCCGCCGUGUCCUGCCUGGUGCUCUGCGUCUCCCUCCUCCUGCCGCGCACCUUCCUGCCCCGGGCCGGCGGCAGGCAGGAGCCCGGCGCCGCGCCGCCCGAGGGGAAGCUCAGUCGCUUUCCACUGAGGAUGCAUUCCCACGCCACUCCCGACAGCCGAGCUGUCCCUCAUUUUCCAAGGUCUCACCUUACUGAAGCAGUUGCCAAAGCCAAGGCAGGUGGAGGUGGUAGUGGAAGCACUGGUGGAAGUGGAAGAGGCCUUGUGGGACAGAUUAUCCCUAUAUAUGGAUUUGGCAUCUUUUUAUAUAUUCUAUACAUUUUAUUUAAGCUGGCUUCCAAGGGAAGAACUACUCCCACAGAGCAGAAAUGCCCUCCUGCUACACCUGGGAACAUGAAGAGGAAAAUCACUGACUAUGAGCUCACUCAACUCCAGGAAAGACUGAGAGAGACAGAAGAAGCAAUGGAAAAAUUAAUCAACAGAGUAGGACCUAUGUAUGACAGGACUCAAAAUGUUACAACAGACCAGGAAAAAAUGCUACUUCAACAACUCAGAGAAAUUACUAGAGUUAUGAAAGAAGGAAAAUUCAUAGAUGACAUCUCUCCUGAGAAGGAAGCUGAGGAAGCUCCUUACAUGGCAGAUUGGGAAGGUUAUCCAGAAGAGACCUAUCCUGUCUACGAUAAUUCCGAUUGCUUCAAGUGCAAACAGGACACAAUCCUUGUAGAUUACCCUGACCUGAGCCAGCCCUCUCCAGAAGAGCUGGCAGAAAGAAUGGAGGGCAUGGAAGAUGAGGAGUAUCCUUAUGAUGAAACCCUGCUAAGUGAUCUCACCACAGGAAUGGGUGGUCAGGAUUUAAUGCAGAAAAAGGAUGAUGUAACUCUCGUCAAGGAGGAGAAGAGUGACCUUCCUCCCAGCCAGAGCACUGGGGAGUGCUGCUGUUGCUGUGAUGAUGAUCCUGCUGUCAUAGCAGAGAAUGCUGGAUUCCACUCUGAGAGCUGCAGUGAAGUAGAAGAGACAAGCCAAGAGGACCUGUCCGUGGAGUCAGAAAAUGAGAAUGCUACACUGGAAAAGCAAAAACCCAGUGAUUCAGAGGAGACAGGCACGCUGAGAAAGCGCAACACCAAAGUACUUGAUUGAUGAGCGACAACCAUCUGGAUGGUAAAGGUAGAGGUCAUCAACUGUCAUCCACCUCGGUUUUGUUCCCACUGAGGACUUCUCUGUGUUCAUUUCUUUGUACCUAUUGCAUUCUCAUGGUACCAGUCACAUCAUCUGCCUAAACUGGAAGGCAGUGCCCUCUUUCAUGCCCACUUAUCAUGGGUUACCAUGAUGCUGCCAGCAGUGCUUUGUCCUUGAUUUUUGAAGCCUUGUCUUUUGGAACAGAUAUUUGUGACUCGUUCCUUUUCAAUUCUGAAGGAGCUGUCCUUGGUUUUGCCCUUUGUCAUCCAGAGUUAACCAAAUGUCUCUUCUGGCUUUUUCAAAACAAUCUGUGUGCUACUAGUUAGAAGAGUUAAUCAAAUCCUUAUAUAUACAUGAGUUUACUGGGAUGCUGAAGGACAAAAUAUGCCUUCUUUCUCUUAGCUCGGUGUUAGCUGGUCAUCAGAGCAGAUCAUAGUCACACACAUGACUCUCUCAACUCUGUCAUUGCUCUCUACUCUUGAGAAACUGCUGUCACCACAAUCCACAAAGCUCCUCUGCUACCCCACAGCUCCUUUCCCAUUUAUUCCGUAUUGUUGGUAUGGUAGCCUAAUCCAUGUUGUGUUACUUGUGUGAGCAAGACUCAAGCUCUGUGAGUUGUGCUUUAACUUUGCCUUAGCUGUGGUGAAAUUCCCAGAUGAUUGCAGGAAGUGGACCACAAUGUGUGAGAGCACUAAAAAUAUCCCUGGAUAUUAAAACCAAAAGAGCAGUGUUAAGGUUUGUCUGUAAAGCAGAGAAGAGUAUGAGGAGGACCCUCAGACUGAAGAUAGCAGGUAGGCUUUUCCUUCUUCCUGGAAACCCGUGGAUUUUUUAUGCUCUUGGAAUGCUGUUGCCAGGGUCAUGUUGAGGCCACCCCAGGUAUAGGAUGAGGAGGGUGCUGGAGCCAAGGACUCCUAAGGACAGGUGGCAGGUCCCUGUGCCCAAGGGACGGCUUGUCUUGUACAAACAGCAUGGCAGGUGGGAUGGGCUCCAGGAAAGGUUCCCUCAGCUCUCAUUACUCUCCUGCUUCUCCCAUACCUGGGCACUUUUCAGGCCCACCAUAACCUGAUGUACUGGGCCACUCUCAUGGCCCAGUCACAGUGGCUGUUUGUGAUGUCACCAGUCCCCUGAGUGCUCUGGCACUACAGAAGCAGAUGUCUCCCUGUCCACCCAGCUCUGAGGCCCUUGAUGAAAGUCUGGAAGAAAGAAAAGCCAGAGCAGCGAGGCAGCUGGCAGACCACCUUUGCAAGGGAUGGCAGCAGGGCCCCUUCCAAUGAUGACCGAAGAGGAAGGUAUGUGCCAGGAGGAGGCCGUGGAAGAGAAGGAACAAAAUCACCCCUCUGCCACAAGUACCACCGCCCUCAGUUCCCUGGUCACGGCCAUGCAGAGCUUGGCUCUGUGCCCACCAGGGAAAGGUGUGCAGCCCAUGGACAUCGGCCUGCCAGGCAACCACCGGAGCAGUGAGCUGGGUGGCCGACCACCUUUGUGUGGGACAGCACAGAGACGUGUCCGGCAGCAGCCAAAGGGGGAGUCACUUUCCCUGGGCCUGAAAAAUGGCAAUCGACAGUGCAGGAGGAGGAGGGGAAGGAGAAGAAGGAGGAGCAUCAGCCCUUGCACCAUGAGAGCCAUUGCCAACAUGCGAGGAACGACAUCCAGCGUAUGCCUCCAGGAAUUCUGGAGGCUCAAAAUCCGCACCUGCCUGACUGAAAAAUAAGCAACAAGACAAGGAUGAAAAUCCUGUCAUCCUCCUUAUUUGGUACUUUGGUGACAGCACCUUUGCUCCCAUGACCCCUUAAGUAGGAGGUGGUUUUUAGAAAAUUUAGAAACUUUCCAGUUCCAUGCCCCUAUCCUGCUUUGCUGCUGCUAUCUUACACCCUGGGAUUUUUUAGGCUAUGACAUCAACAAAUUGAGACUAGUUUUUUUAAACUGAGUAAAGUUAUCAUAAUGAAGGCAUGGAGCCCUAGGAAUUUCUUCUUUGCAAACGUGCUAGGGAAUAUUAUGGAGUCCCAGCCUCCACACGGAGCCUGUCCUACUAGCUCAACCAUUCCAUCUCCUGGCAUCAACAAUCAUUUGUUGAUUGCCAUGCAUUAUAUAAGCCCUUCCUUCUCAUCCCCUACCCCACCCUUCCUGGAGCUCCUCAGGGAGACAUGAAUUGACUUGGCUUUCACCAGGCUACUGUGCUGAGGUGACAGGAGUUUUUCCCAAGAGGGCCACUGAGGUUCCUGGGGUCUGGAGGUGGGGUUGCUUCAGUCCGAGGUCAGCAACAAUCCCUGAUGAAUGAGUGAAGUCAGCCUUGCAUAAAGAAUAUUAGCAGACCAAGCCAAGAACGUAGACAACUGUUUCUUUGGCAAAGCAACAGAUGGCAGAAAGAAGUGCUAGCCUUCACAUGGAGGUCCCUUCUAGCUGCUUCAUAGGAAGUUCUUUUCAAUGUUGGGAAAUAAAUUUAAAAAAAAAACAAACCAAUAAACCAAAAAAAUAACAGCAAAAUUUCUUUCUUCCUCUCUUUUUUUGGGAUUUGGUGAGUGCCUAUGGAUUCCUCUGUCCCCUCUUGGUCUCCACAGCCCUGGAAAGGUACUAAUGUGUGGGGUACAGGUACAGCCCAGGCCUUGGAGAUGGUGAGGAGUUGGGGCCCACAGCACACAAGGGUAGGCUGAGGGAGCUACCUCUAGUCACGACGGUGGGGCAGUGGUGGAGUUGGUGCCCAGUGAAAGUGUGGAUGCCCCAUCCUUGUCAACAUUCAAGGUCAGGUUGGCUGGGGCUUUGGCCAAUCUGAUCUAGUGCCAGUCACACCCCAGUGUUCAAUCAAGCCCUUACAUCAUUCCCCAGUGCUUCCAAGGAAACGGUAGGAGAUGUGCUGGAGCUCUGCUGUGGAUACAGGCACAGCCCAGUGGGAUUGUCACAGACUGGUGAGUGUUCCCUGGGUGUCACUGGAACUGUGACACUCUGAGGCAGAGAGGAGCAUCCCAGGUAGGCAUCCCACCGCAUCUACACAUCCACCAUGGGCCUCUGGGACACUCUGCUUUAAUGAAAUUAAUUGGAUUCCCCUGGUCUGCACCAGCUCCAAGCCAGAUGCUGGGUGCCAGUCAAGCAAGGUGCCAGAGAGCCUCAAGAGCUCAUCCCUGAGGUGUCAAUGGCCUUGUCAGCCCCUCCCCAAGGACCAGUAAGUGCUCUCUGAACAUAGCCAGCCUUGUCUCCUGUAGCAGCUCACCAGCAGCCUUCAAACUGGGAUUCCUCCUGUUUGAAUAUUUCCUUUUCAUCCUUUGACUCAGCUUUCCCCCCUCUGAAACAGAAAUGUCUAUUUAGAGGAGCAUUUUAGAAAAGGACCAUCAAAUAUGUGUCUCCAGCUUUCUCAACUAUUAACUGCUCACUUCUACUACAGAACAUUCAUAAUUUGAAGGAGAGCUUUGCUGAUCAAAAUCAGGAUUCUCAAGAGAACUUUGAUGAAGUAAGUAAAUCAAAUCAUAGGUCAGAACAUCAGCAAAGCUGGAAAUUUGAGAAAAAGUCACAGAAGCUCAAGUGGAUGCCCAUUGGAAGCAGUCAGGCCCUUUAAAAGCACACGUUCCUUUACUUGUGAUGUUUCCCACCUGGCAAAUGAAUGGCUGUACUUUUUGUUAAUGCUAAAAGAAAGAGCACAUGUGUUGUUAAAACGAAAUAUUAUGAUAAAACUAGAUUUUAAAACCCA